AUUGAACGCUGGCGGCAGGCCUAACACAUGCGAGUCGAGCGGAUGAAGGGAGCUUGCUCCUGGAUUCAGCGGCGGACGGGUGAGUAAUGCCUAGGAAUCUGCCUGGUAGUGGGGGAUAACGUCCGCAAACGGGCGCUAAUACCGCAUACGUCCUGAGGGAGAAAGUGGGGGAUCUUCGGACCUCACGCUAUCAGAUGAGCCUAGGUCGGAUUAGCUAGUUGGUGGGGUAAAGGCCUACCAAGGCGACGAUCCGUAACUGGUCUGAGAGGAUGAUCAGUCACACUGGAACUGAGACACGGUCCAGACUCCUACGGGAGGCAGCAGUGGGGAAUAUUGGACAAUGGGCGAAAGCCUGAUCCAGCCAUGCCGCGUGUGUGAAGAAGGUCUUCGGAUUGUAAAGCACUUUAAGUUGGGAGGAAGGGCAGUAAGUUAAUACCUUGCUGUUUUGACGUUACCAACAGAAUAAGCACCGGCUAACUUCGUG
This 484-nucleotide ribosomal RNA is filed under the name uncultured bacterium. RNAcentral describes it as "partial 16S ribosomal RNA". It matches the Rfam family "Bacterial small subunit ribosomal RNA", at positions 30 to 507 of the family's 1533-position model. The record is from RNAcentral.